GACGAACGCUGGUGGCGUGCCUAAUACAUGCAAGUUGAGCGCUGAAGGUUGGUACUUGUACCCACUGGAUGAGCAGCGAACGGGUGAGUAACGCGUGGGGAAUCUGCCUUUGAGCGGGGGACAACAUUUGGAAACGAAUGCUAAUACCGCAUAAAAACUUUAAACACAAGUUUUAAGUUUGAAAGAUGCAAUUGCAUCACUCAAAGAUGAUCCCGCGUUGUAUUAGCUAGUUGGUGAGGUAAAGGCUCACCAAGGCGAUGAUACAUAGCCGACCUGAGAGGGUGAUCGGCCACAUUGGGACUGAGACACGGCCCAAACUCCUACGGGAGGCAGCAGUAGGGGAUCUUCGGCAAUGGACGAAAGUCUGACCGAGCAACGCCGCGUGAGUGAAGAAGGUUUUCGGAUCGUAAAACUCUGUUGGUAGAGAAGAACGUUGGUGAGAGUGGAAAGCUCAUCAAGUGACGGUAACUACACAGAAAGGGACGGCUAACUACGUG
Molecule: ribosomal RNA, 497 nt
Filed under: uncultured bacterium
Lineage: Bacteria
Description: partial 16S ribosomal RNA
Rfam family: Bacterial small subunit ribosomal RNA
Source: RNAcentral